RNAcentral lists this small RNA (1555 nucleotides) under Pongo abelii (Sumatran orangutan). Its description in RNAcentral is "retained intron". Lineage: Eukaryota; Metazoa; Chordata; Mammalia; Primates; Hominidae. The record is from RNAcentral.
CGCUGGCUCUCAGGAGCUGUUUGGAAAAUUCAUUGCCAUGCAUGAGUCGGGGGAUUGGUAUUUUUUCCACUGGAAACUGUUAAUGGGGACUGCAUUAGCGGCCCCUUAUCGCUUUGCCUGAUAGAGAGACAGCAGGUUCGCCCAAACAAUUCUGGAACCCUGAUCACUGCCAAUUAGGGGAGUAUUGUCUGGCUGACAUAAUCAACUUCACGUUACAGCAUGGAAGCUGUUGCCAAGUUUGAUUUCGCUGCUUCAGGUGAGGAUGAACUGAGCUUUCACACUGGAGAUGUUUUGAAGGUAGGUGACGUGGGGCCCCAGGGGAGCAGUAGGGAGUUUCAGUUACUCAGUAACCUGACAGUCCCUGCCUUUGUCUCUUAAGAACUGCAUGUGGUUCCUUUUAAAAAGAGAAGUUCACCUUGAUUCCCUUUGUGCACCCUUAUACCAGACACCAACCAGGCCAGGUGAUGGAAAUACAGUCGGCAUAAGCCACUGUCCUUGUCCUGGGAGGUUUGUAGUCUGGAGAGGGGAACACAUCCACCCAAAGGGCUGUUACAGAUGUUCUUGGCUAAGUUCUCAGGGAACACAGGUGAGGGAACAAGUGAUUCCACCUUGAAAGAUGGGGGUUGUAGGAGUGUGUGCAAUGUGAACGUCAGGAAUGCACUGAAGGUGACUUGGGCUUUUAGCUAAAGCUCAGACAUGUGCAAGCCGGUGCUGAAUUGAGAGAGCAGCACCAGGCUCAGCAGAGCUGGAACUCAGGAGGAGAGGUUGUGGGUGGACUCAGCUUGGGAAAGGCAGCCACAGAGGACAUGGCUCAACAAAGGCCAUGCACACCUGGUCACUCAGGGGCUUUUUAAAGCUUGUCCUCAGCCUGCAGUUGAGUUGUAGUGGCCACUUGCUGAGCUGAAGUGGCCUUGGACUUCUCCCACAUUCAUGCACCAUACUUUCAGACUCUGCAUCUUAGCCCUUGGGUUUUUGUUUUGUUUGUUUGUUUGUUUGUUUGCGAAAGAGCAUAAGCCCUUCAAAAGGGCAUUUGGGAGUAUGUGGACCCAGACCCCCUCUACCUGACCUCAGAGCACCCUCAGAUAGCCUGAUCCCUGGUCCUCAGCAGUCCUGACGAGCCUUCUCGGAUGCCCAACAACACUGAGGCCAUUAGUGUCUCACCGCCGAGAAUUAUGUUUGUUAUACAAAGAACCUUGUCAGCAUGUGAGAGGGUGACAUGGAAAGUGUCUGAGGAGCACGAAACACCACAGAAUGGCUUCUUUUGGAAUAUGAACAUGCCCGUUAGGUAGCCUUCUAACUGCUCUCAACUUUCAAGAUCUAGUAACACAGUGGCAAAGCGUAGGCCUUCACAAAUUUAAAAUAUGAGUUGGGCCUCCUGACCCAGGAAAACCUGUCUGUCACUGCUUUGGGGUCUUACGAAGCUCCUGGAGGGACUUGCCAUGCAGUGAGAAGUUCCUGCCUUCUCUGUGGGGCACUGUGAUCAUGUUACUGUCAUCCACUGGAGACCAUCCUUGUACCAACUUCCACCCUCGUCUUCCAUUGCAAAGACAACCUG